GACGAACGCUGGCGGCGUGCUUAACACAUGCAAGUCGAACGGAAAGGCCCUUUUGGGGGUACGUGCUUGGCGGACGGGCGAGUAACACGCGCGUAACUAGCCUUUCCCUGCGGGAUAACUACCUGAAACAGGGGCUAAUACCGGCUAGGUAUCCUUGCUUCAUGGAUGGGGGUGGUAAGCUUCGGCGGGUUUGGGUGGACUCGCGGCCUAUCUGCUUGGUGGUGGGGUAGUGGCUUACCAAGGCUUUCACGGGCAGCCGGCCUGGGUGGGCGACCGGCCACAUUGGGACUGAGAUACGGCCCAGACUCCUACGGGGGGCAGCAGGGGGGAAUAUUGCACAAUGGGCGGAAGCCUGAUGCAGCAACGCCGCGUGCGGGAGGACGGCCUUCGGGUUGGAAACCGCUUUCAGCAGGGGCGAAGCUUGUGGUGACGGUACCUGCAGAAGAAGCACCGGCUAACUACGUG
RNAcentral lists this ribosomal RNA (465 nucleotides) under uncultured bacterium. RNAcentral's name for it is "partial 16S ribosomal RNA". It matches the Rfam family "Bacterial small subunit ribosomal RNA", at positions 28 to 507 of the family's 1533-position model. The record is from RNAcentral.